GGAGAGCCUGUAUUCCUCAGGAGGAGGGUCUUAUGCAGCUUAAUUCGGACAAGCAGAUAGAAAAUCAUUAUUCCUCAUUAAUUUAAGAGCUAAUUAAGCUUUUUAUCUGGUCACAAUUUUAUCUGACAGUUCGUGCCCUUCUAGCUGUGUUCUGUGGGCCUCACUGUGUGCCUGGCCUGCACUGAGGAUAAAAGGGAACUAGACGGAAAUGCCACUGAGACCCUGCCUCGUGCCAGCCGCUGGGGUGGUGCCACAGGCUCAAGGCCGUGUGGUAACAUCCCCAGGACGAACCUGAAACCAUCCAGAUGCCCCAGGAAGCGACGUGAGAACAAGGCAUCCUCUUCACACAUCGCGUCUCAGUUCAGCGCCUCGUCACCACCCAGCAUUGUGAGGCAGAAUGUGAGAUCUCGUGGUUGGCUAAAUACAUAAAUAUUUUAUGUCUCGAUAUUCUGAAAAUGAAGCCCAAAUGCACAGAACUGCAGCACAUCGGUGCUAUAGAUCAUAUGUUAUAAUAAUCUGAUGACAUGUUGUUUAAAUAUUUAUGGGCUGAU
Molecule: long non-coding RNA, 551 nt
Filed under: Chinchilla lanigera (long-tailed chinchilla)
Lineage: Eukaryota; Metazoa; Chordata; Mammalia; Rodentia; Chinchillidae
Description: lncRNA (ENSCLAG00000027181.1)
Source: RNAcentral